This 459-nucleotide ribosomal RNA is filed under the name uncultured bacterium. RNAcentral's name for it is "partial 16S ribosomal RNA". It matches the Rfam family "Bacterial small subunit ribosomal RNA", at positions 338 to 795 of the family's 1533-position model. The record is from RNAcentral.
CCUACGGGAGGCAGCAGUGAGGAAUAUUGGUCAAUGGGAGAGAUCCUGAACCAGCCAAGCCGCGUGAGGGAAGACGGCCCUAUGGGUUGUAAACCUCUUUUGUCGGAGAACAAAACCCGGGACGUGUCCCGUACUGCGUGUAUCCGAAGAAAAAGCAUCGGCUAACUCCGUGCCAGCAGCCGCGGUAAUACGGAGGAUGCGAGCGUUAUCCGGAUUUAUUGGGUUUAAAGGGUGCGUAGGCGGUCCGUUAAGUCAGCGGUAAAAUUGCGGGGCUCAACCCCGUCGAGCCGUUGAAACUGGCAGACUUGAGUUGGCGAGAAGUACGCGGAAUGCGCGGUGUAGCGGUGAAAUGCAUAGAGAUCGCGCAGAACUCCGAUUGCGAAGGCAGCGUACCGGCGCCAGACUGACGCUGAGGCACGAAAGCGUGGGGAUCGAACAGGAUUAGAUACCCCAGUAGUC